This 272-nucleotide small nucleolar RNA is filed under the name Procavia capensis (Cape rock hyrax). Its description in RNAcentral is "Small Cajal body specific RNA 6 (ENSPCAG00000020638.1)". It matches the Rfam family "Small Cajal body specific RNA 6". Rfam says of the family: U88 is small Cajal body specific RNA (scaRNA). scaRNAs are a novel class of small nuclear RNAs which localise to the Cajal bodies. U88 is found associated with both fibrillarin and Gar1p and co-localises with coilin in Cajal bodies. Lineage: Eukaryota; Metazoa; Chordata; Mammalia; Hyracoidea; Procaviidae. The record is from RNAcentral.
GGUCCAUGAUGAUUGGUAAAAGGUCUGACUGCACUUAACGUCGCAGUCCUUCCUCGCCCUCGACUCCCAGCAGCCCGUUUGGUUCCUCCCGUCACAUUUAAGUCAUGUGCAUGGGGUCAUGGUGCAGCUGACAACUUUGGACUCUGUCAUGGUGUGUUUCUGAGAGCUACAGGGUCACAGCUGACAAGUGUCCAACAGACGCAGUUCUGCAGGAGGCUUGUGAGGGCAGGCAGGUGUGACGGUGCCUGAUCUCAAGUUUUCAAUCUGAGACC